GAAAUGCGAUAAGUAGUGUGAAUUGCAGAAUUCAGUGAAUCAUCGAAUCUUUGAACGCACAUUGCGCCCUUUGGUAUUCCUUAGGGCAUGCCUGUUCGAGCGUCAUCUAAACCUUCAAGCCCUGCUUGGUGUUGGGUGCCUGUCCCGCCUCCGCGCGCGGACUCACCUCAAAUCCAUUGGCGGCCCCCGCGUCGGCCACGAGCGCAGCAGAAACGCGAACUCGAGAGCCCGUCCGGGCGGCUCCCAGAAGCUACACCCACCCAGUUUGACCUCGGAUCAGGUAGGGAUACCCGCUGAACUUAAGC
This 305-nucleotide unclassified non-coding RNA is filed under the name plant metagenome. RNAcentral's name for it is "partial contains 5.8S ribosomal RNA, internal transcribed spacer 2, and large subunit ribosomal RNA". The stretch from base 1 to 105 matches the Rfam family "5.8S ribosomal RNA", at positions 50 to 154 of the family's 154-position model. The record is from RNAcentral.